RNAcentral lists this ribosomal RNA (301 nucleotides) under uncultured bacterium. RNAcentral describes it as "partial 16S ribosomal RNA". It matches the Rfam family "Bacterial small subunit ribosomal RNA", at positions 509 to 807 of the family's 1533-position model. The record is from RNAcentral.
CAGUCGCCGCGGGAAUACGAAGGGGGCUAGCGUUGCUCGGAAUUACUGGGCGUAAAGGGAGCGUAGGCGGACAUUUAAGUCAGGGGUGAAAUCCCAGAGCUCAACUCUGGAACUGCCUUUGAUACUGGGUGUCUUGAGUGUGAUAGAGGUAUGUGGAACUCCGAGUGUAGAGGUGAAAUUCGUAGAUAUUCGGAAGAACACCAGUGGCGAAGGCGACAUACUGGAUCAUUACUGACGCUGAGGCUCGAAAGCGUGGGGAGCAAACAGGAUUAGAUACCCGAGUAGUCCCUGUCUCUUAUAC